Molecule: signal recognition particle RNA, 298 nt
Filed under: Cebus imitator (Panamanian white-faced capuchin)
Lineage: Eukaryota; Metazoa; Chordata; Mammalia; Primates; Cebidae
Description: Metazoan signal recognition particle RNA (ENSCCAG00000011849.1)
Rfam family: Metazoan signal recognition particle RNA
About the family: The signal recognition particle (SRP) is a universally conserved ribonucleoprotein. It is involved in the co-translational targeting of proteins to membranes. The eukaryotic SRP consists of a 300-nucleotide 7S RNA and six proteins: SRPs 72, 68, 54, 19, 14, and 9.
Source: RNAcentral
GCUGGGUGCAGUGGUGUGUGCCUGUAGUCCCAGCUACUCGUGAGGCUGAGAUGGGAGGAUCGUUUGAGCCCAGGAAUUCUGGGCUGUAGUGCGCUAUGCCGAUCAGGUGUCCGCACUAAGUUCGGCAUCAAUAUGGUGAUCUCCUGGGAGUGGGGCACCACUGGGUUGCCUAAGGAGGGCGAACCAGCCCAGGUCGGAAACGGAGCAGGUCAAAACUCCUGUGCUGAUCAGUAGUGGGAUUGCGCCUGUGAAUAGCCCCCGCACUCCAGCCUGGGCAACAUAGCGAGACCCUGUCUCU